This 558-nucleotide unclassified non-coding RNA is filed under the name uncultured bacterium. RNAcentral describes it as "partial contains 16S ribosomal RNA, 16S-23S ribosomal RNA intergenic spacer, and 23S ribosomal RNA". The stretch from base 117 to 190 matches the Rfam family "tRNA". The record is from RNAcentral.
GGGAGAAGUCGUAACAAGGUAGCCGUAGGGGAACUUGCGGCUGGAUCCACCUCCUUUNUAGAGAAGCAUUUNGGCACCCACAACCUAUCGGUUGUUCAUGAGUAGCAAACAGACGAGGGUCUGUAGCUCAGUCGGUUAGAGCCCCGUCUUGAUAAGGCGGGGGUCGUUGGUUCGAUUCCAACCAGACCCACCAACGUCAAAAUCAAGGGGGAUUAGCUCAGCUGGGAGAGCACCUGCUUUGCAAGCAGGGGGUCAACGGUUCGAUCCCGUUAUCCUCCACCAAAACCCAAAGAUAAGCAGUGGUGUUUAUCUUUGGCUUUUGAGCAAUCAAUUGCUACGUUCUUUAACAAAAUGGAAGAAGGUUGUGUUGCAGCGCUGAUGAGGCGUUGGCAACACGUUGUGAUUGCAUCUGUUCCUUGUCCUUUAGCCAGGACGAGACAGCACAAAUAUGAGUUGCCUGUAGCCACUCUCGAAAGAGAGUACAAGGUUAUAGGAUCAAGCGAAUAAGUGCAUGUGGUGGAUGCCUUGGCGAUCCACAGGCGAUGAAGGACGUGCUAA